RNAcentral lists this unclassified non-coding RNA (329 nucleotides) under soil metagenome. RNAcentral describes it as "partial contains 5.8S ribosomal RNA, internal transcribed spacer 2, and large subunit ribosomal RNA". The stretch from base 1 to 120 matches the Rfam family "5.8S ribosomal RNA", at positions 35 to 154 of the family's 154-position model. The record is from RNAcentral.
GAUGAAGAACGUAGCGAAAUGCGAUAAGUAAUGUGAAUUGCAGAAUUCAGUGAAUCAUCGAAUCUUUGAACGCACAUUGCGCCCCCUGGUAUUCCGGGGGGCAUGCCUGUCCGAGCGUCAUUACAACCCUCAAGCUCAGCUUGGUAUUGGGCCCCGCCAACCCGGCGGGCCCUAAAGUCAGUGGCGGUGCCGUCCGGCUCCGAGCGUAGUAAUUCUUCUCGCUCUGGAGGUCCGGUCGUGUGCUCGCCAGCAACCCCCAAUUUUUUUCAGGUUGACCUCGGAUCAGGUAGGGAUACCCGCUGAACUUAAGCAUAUCAAUAAGCGGAGGA